UAAUAAGUGUUUUAUGGCACUUUUUAAGUCCAUAUCCACCUUGUGUGCAAUGUCAGUCGAUCUUCUUCAUGGAGAUCGACCAAACAUCAACCUUUAUUCUUUAACACUUUGUCUGAAAAAUAUUAUGAAUAAACAAUUCAAAAUA
This 145-nucleotide unclassified non-coding RNA is filed under the name soil metagenome. RNAcentral describes it as "partial internal transcribed spacer 1". The record is from RNAcentral.